UCUAACAUGCAUUAACAUCAAAAUUUAUAUUGCCCAACCUCAGAUAAUUGUGACUUUUACAAAAGUCCAUUAUGAUUGCUUAACAUAGAGCUAAAUUUUUACCCUAAAGGCAUAACAUUCUAGUAAUUGAGAUUGUAAGUCUCCCCCCUCUUAAGGUAUUUUGUGGAAACUUGGCCUUUUUUCCUUCCUUUGGAUGAUGUCAUAGUUCAAGCAUCCAUGCUUGUG
Molecule: long non-coding RNA, 225 nt
Filed under: Lathyrus oleraceus (garden pea)
Lineage: Eukaryota; Viridiplantae; Streptophyta; Magnoliopsida; Fabales; Fabaceae
Description: Pisum sativum (pea) long non-coding RNA (PSAT_LNC006471)
Source: RNAcentral